GAUGAACGCUGGCGGCGUGCCUAAUACAUGCAAGUCGAGCGAACGGACGAGAAGCUUGCUUCUCUGAUGUUAGCGGCGGACGGGUGAGUAACACGUGGAUAACCUACCUAUAAGACUGGGAUAACUUCGGGAAACCGGAGCUAAUACCGGAUAAUAUUUUGAACCGCAUGGUUCAAAAGUGAAAGACGGCCUUGCUGUCACUUAUAGAUGGAUCCGCGCUGCAUUAGCUAGUUGGUAAGGUAACGGCUUACCAAGGCAACGAUGCAUAGCCGACCUGAGAGGGUGAUCGGCCACACUGGAACUGAGACACGGUCCAGACUCCUACGGGAGGCAGCAGUAGGGAAUCUUCCGCAAUGGGCGAAAGCCAGACGGAGCAACGCCGCGUGAGUGAUGAAGGUCUUCGGAUCGUAAAACUCUGUUAUUAGGGAAGAACAUAUGUGUAAGUAACUGUGCACAUCUUGACGGUACCUAAUCAGAAAGCCACGGCUAACUACGUG
Molecule: ribosomal RNA, 497 nt
Filed under: uncultured bacterium
Lineage: Bacteria
Description: partial 16S ribosomal RNA
Rfam family: Bacterial small subunit ribosomal RNA
Source: RNAcentral